AGUGUUUCGCCGGCGUUGGUUUGAUUCGGUUCAUGUUCUUAUGAUGCUGUUUCUGCGAAUGCAUUAAUGCGGGUCUCUAUCGAAAUUUUAUUUUUGUGCAUCGAGAUAUGGUUUGAUGUGAUUGUCCUCUCGGCAUUUUUGACUGUUUGAUGCAGUCUAGAGAGAUAACUCAUCUCUUCCCCAGAGAAAUAUUGUUUUGUUAGAUUGGAAGUAGAACAAGCCAUAACGCUAUGCAAUCAGGAAGGAGUAGUGGAUUGAAUCAGGUAAGACUGACAUCUAGAUGACGGAUGUUGCCCAAGAAUUCUGCUUUUGUUUUUGGGACUAAUGGGUGCUUUAAAGGACUAACAUUUGGUAAGAUCGCUGGAGGGAUCUAUUUAGAGUAUGAAUUUCUUGCUCGAAUGUUGGCUUUGUCGCAUAAGGUGGAUUCCGAUACUCUGCAUUUGUUUAGUUUUCAUGGUGUCAAGAAUAUGGCCUUACAGGUUUUCUGCCGCAUAAUGCAAAUUCCGUUACUCUCCAUUUUGUUAGAUCAGCAGGCAUGUGAUUGUAGGUUGCAAGCUAAUCAGGACAAAAAUUUCUUGCCUUUAUCACAGAGUGCAGAUGUCGAUACUCUUUGUUUGUCCAGAUUGGUGGGCGUUAUGACUAUGCCCUUUCAUAACUUCCAUAGAGGAUCGAGGGACCAUAUAUUGCUAAGAUAGAUUACUAUGCUGAUGGGCACAUUUCAAUUAGGACUUGAGCAAUGCCACUGAGACUAUUAAAGAAAUAUCAUGAGAUAACUAUUAGACUAAAUUUGCAAUAAAGAUGAGAUCACUUGAAGUUAAGUGGCACCAUGGGCAUAAAUACGUUUGAGGAGCCGAGAUGAGGUUUCUGAGGUGGAUAUGUGGUAAAACAGGGCAUAUAUAUUAAAUAAACAAGGAGACGAAGCAUGCAAAAAAGCAACAUACGGGUGAGAAGUAAGAGAGGAUUUUUUGAGACUGUUGAACCAUGUAAGCACUAGGGAAAAGAUCACUCAUAUGAAGACAAAGCAUCAAACAUAGGAUGAAUGGCUUAGGAAAGAAAGAAGUGGGUGGGGGAAAAAUACUUGUCAUUUGGGAGGUCUCUUUGUAGGAUAGGAACCAAUGGUGGAGUAGGAGCAUAGAGCCAUUUCCUAAUACACAGGAUGAGGCUUAUUUUUUGUGCUAAUGUAAGUUUCGAUUUUCCAUAUCAUGCUUAUAGGCUACAAUGAUGUUUUUUCUAGGGGGUAGGUUUUGGAGUACGCUAUUGGUUUAUAGCUUGUUCAAUAAUUUUCAAAUCAAAACAAAACAAAACAUACUUUGAGGAUUAGUGGGUGAUAAAGAAUGGGAAAAAUGAAUGUCCAUAGAGUAAAAUUGUUUCUUUAAUAGACUGAUGAUAGGCAUGGAUGCAUUAUCAGAAAGAUUUCUUUGAUAUGGAGCUUUUGACUUGCAUGCAUUGUGGUUUUCAUAUAAAACAGCUUAGGAUAAAAAAAACAGCUCAAAUUUCUCUUGAGGUUGCAAAAAAAAAACGAGACAAUGGGACACAGUUUUUCCAUGUUGUUUGAAGACUUUCAUAGGUAUUCCAUCUUGAUUGAUUUUGGAGGUAUUUUUUACUCAAUAUUCCUGUAUCAAAUCCACAACUUGCUGAACUUUGGAACCUCAUUUGGUUUCUGCUAUUAUUUGGUGAGCUGAACAUAUUAUGAUCACCUUUUCCACCUCAGUUACAUUUAUUAUUUGUAAUAAUAUUCUGUAUAUUACAACUUUAUUUCUAUCAAGAUUACAUCCAUCGCUAGUUCAUGCCUUCUCAUAUCCAAUUUGACAAAGUCCCUGACAUGUAUUGCUUGCCAACACUGAGUUGUUGUAUGAAUAUUGAUUGUCAUGUUUUUUCAGAACCUCUAUAUGUUCAGUUCAAUUCAGUCUCCCACUGUGAUUUUUGAAAAAAUUUCUUUGGUGAAAUAUAACCUUGAUGUUACUUUGAAUGGCAUUAUCAAGAAGUUUCAGGGUAAGAAGUUGGCCUUGCUGCCAGCUUGCAUUGAAAGAAAUGUGGUGUACCCAAACCAACUCAUUUGAAGUGCAGUCGUUUUUUUAACUAAGUUCUAUCAUCAACUUCAAAAGAGAAAAGAAGAAGAAAAAAAAAAGAAGAAGAACUGCUAUGUUUCGGAGGGUGGAGGAGCAGCUGAUGGAGGAAACGAGAGAGGCAGGGGAAAGGAAAAAAACAAAAAAGCAGCUGGUGGAGGGCAAACAGGAAACACCAUUUACUAUUCCACCUCAUGGAUAAAGCCAUAUAAAUGCUUUAUUUCAGCACAUGUAAUCCCUGUGGGGCGUGGGCAAUGGUCGAUCGAUGGCAGGGGAAAAAACUUUGCGCGAAUUAAAACCCCUCUCUAUUUCCGUUGCUAGGGUUUUGCCAUCGUCGUCGCCUAAUUCAUACUCGUCCUGCAUUCAAUUUAGGGUUUGGUUUGGAACUUUGAGAUGGAGGCAUUGAAGCCUUUGAAAGAGAAGAAUUUCUGGUUCACUUCCUUCCUUGUUGUGUGGGUGGCCACUCUACAGGCACAUAUGAUGUGGAUGCAGAAGCAAGACACUUUCAAGCAAAGGUUUGGGGAUAUGAGCCAAAAAGGUGGAGAUGAUUGAACUACUGAGCAAUUUAUCAGGUUCCUCUGAAGCCGAAUCAUAUCCCCAUUUUCUUUAUAGAUUCUUCUCUUUUCACAUUCCAUUUGUUUUAUUGGGAUUAUAAUCUUUUGGAGAAUAUAACAUCAUGAAAAGAGAAUAUAAACACCAUCUGAGGAGUUCCUGGAUUGGGUUUCCAUUUGUUUUGAGAAAAGGAAACGGUCUGUUGUGCCGAUUGCUUGCUUACAAAUAUUACGAAUAAUAUAAUUGGGCUUAUAUUAUUAUGGGAUCAUCAUCGAACACGGAUGUUAAUUGGGGUUAAUUCUGCUUUUCAUAUCGCUUUUCUAUUUGCAGUUGGUUGGUAGGUUUAAAUUGAUUGAUUAUAGGGUGGAAAGGGAUACUUAAAAAUAUAACGAAUAAUAUAAUGACAGCUUCUGUAUGGUUUCAGUCCUAUGUGUGCCCUCAUUUGUAUGUUUGAACUGCUUAUUUGUCUUCAAAUUGUUAUGUUUGCUGAUUUAAAAAUAUAUGAUUGGUUUAUUUUAAGAAAGAUAUUUUGAUAGGUGACUUCUGGAAUUUAAAAGAUAGUUGGAAAAUAAGACAUGUUUAGGCAUUCACAGGUGCCAUGUGAUUCUCAAAAGGGUUUUAUAGAGGUCGGGUUUACUGUGUCGAGUUCUAGAAACAGAUGCUGGAGCCUAAACCUAGUAAAAACAUCCUUUGUUUAUUCAGGUUGGUUUUGGUAAGGAAAUAAUAACAUUCAAAAGGCAUUUUGUGGCUUGGUGGCGAGAAGCUGAGAAUUUAUUGAUGAGGGAUGACAUGUUAGAGAAUGUUUGAAAGUUCAAGGGAAACCAUUGUGGAAAUUAUAGGUUGUGUUUCCUUGCCACCUUGGAACAAGGGUGGCCCUUUGUAUUAGCAUUUGAGGCUUCUAACCAACUUUUAUGUUCUGAAUAUUAUGUCACCUACACAUAGACAAACACACAUAAGAGUACAUGACAUGCAUUGGAUGUGUGGUUAUGUUUAUGGCUCCCUGUUAAGAAGUCGCACUAGUUGAUUCAUAAGCCGUACAUGGACAUUUAGGACAACCUGUACAGUUUGAUUGCUUCAGUUUCAGUUCUAGUUCUGGCUAGCCCUUGAUCUGAAAUGUCAGUUAAAAUUGCCUGAAACCAAUGUACUGUCAUAUAGUUAGUAAAUUGCAACUAAAAUGUUUAGUGUCUUGCUAUUUUACUUUUAGAUAAUCUCAGCUAGUUUAAUCCAAAAGAUCCAGUUUCAUUUAGAAGAAGGUGAAAUGGGUCAUUACUUGUUUUAAUUCUUCGUUGUCAUUUGAAUUGUGAAAGAUCACUUGAUUCACAUAAAGCUUAAUGCUUCGAACACCUUAUAAUGGGUCAUAUACACAGACAGGGAACAUUUCUAUAUAUGCAGGCAUAAGUUGUGCAAUGAAGCUUCAUAUCUAUCUUAUAUCCUGUGAAAAUGCUUCUGUUUUUACUUUUGGUGAAUCUGCAGAGUUAUUAAUACCAAGUCAUUAUGACAUGGGAUGUGGAAUUUGUGAAACAAAUAAUUGUGGAAGUUGUGACAUAGGAUGGAAUGCCAUUGUGACGUUUAUUCUUUAGUACAUAAUCCAAUUUCAAGAUACAUUUCUGAAGGGUCCAGCAUGUCAAGGAUUUUCAGUUUAAGUUGAUAGGCAGGACGUCAAACUCUUCCAGGAGUGGGGGCAUACAGCAGACUUGUGUACAUGACUAUCAGGGCCCUAUGAAUAGAUAGAUUCACUAUAAAAUUUCCGCAGCAUACCCAUCUCUGACCUCUUGUGAUCAGAAAAUCAAGUAUGGUUGAGGUCAAGCAGAGACGCAAUUUCUAGCCUAUAUCUCAUUACCACUGAUUUGAUAUUGCAAUUUAAACCACAGCUAACUUUUGCCCCUUUUUUUUUCCCUUCCAAUUGACAUCCUACUCCCUGGUUAUUGGGAGAGGCUUGGUGGCUGCUUUCUCAUUGUUAUCAUAGUAUAAUAACAUUACAGAAAAACAUCUGUUCAGGUUUGUUCGGCAUUUUCUGUUUCAUUGCGAGGAUUCACCAACUCCUGUUCCCUCUUCUCAGUUAAUCAAGCAACCCCAGUUUUACGAAAGCUAAAAUCCUUUGCUAUCAAGAGAUGGGAAAAGAAAAGUCUAAGAAAAACCUUGUACAGUGGGUGGACAACCAGAGGGUUUUCUCUUGCUGGAUAACAUAAAUUCAUUGCUAACUUUUGGAGGCAAAGUUCUUUUUUCCUUUUUUUUGGCACCGUCCGCAGAUGAGUGGGGGUGGUUGUGGAGGGGUGUAGUGGGUGGAUUUUAUUUCAUUAAGUUUAGAAGGAUUUUACGUGCAUCUACUUGGGUUCUUAGGAUCAUUCUGACAGAUAAGGUGAGAAAAAAAAAAUUCCCACCAAGGUGGUAGCAUAGAUGGAACGGGGCGUUGGCUUCCACCAGGGUUGCCCAGGUUUGAAACCCGUGGGUGUUGACUAAAUUCGGGGACCGGAUGCCCCACGCCUGGACGCUGCCGGUGGGAGCGCUACUGGUCUGUUGGUAUCGAGGUGGCGCUGGGGUGACGUACUCACACAUGGGUGAUGAGCCCAGUGAGAGGAGCCCAUGGGUCGGGAAGGGUACGCGGAAACUUGCGGCCUACAUCGAACAUUCCCUGGUGGAAGGAGGGACCAGUGGGGGUUGCUACGCGGGUGAGGUUCGCCUCUCCCCCUCCCCUUCUAUUUUUCACCCAAAAAAAAAAAAAUUCAAGCCUUUGCUCUUGUUUUUGACUAUUGGCUUGAUAGUUUAAUAAUGUCAGCCUCCUGUCUUUUUUGAGAUGGCUCACAAGUAAGAUAAUCCUAGUGAUCUCCAUCUCAUCUGUUUAGUAAUUAUUAGAUGGCUUCUCAUUACAUGACUUUGGUUAUUUAGUUUGAUUGCCUCUUCACUUCAUGCCUCUGUGCCAGAUGCGACACCCAAAGGGUGAGCUUUUGGCGGUUAGCUUAACGUCAGUAGGCAGUCUUGGCUGAAAGGAGGCAAGCAAAUGAAGGGAGGCAUGGAGCAUGGACUUCAAGAAGCAAAGCUUUAUAAACUCGACAAGCCACUUAUAGAAUGCCGACUACUUCAUGAAGUUUAAUAAGAGAGGGAAGCGAAACUUAGUGAGCUUUAGUUGGCCGACCGCUACAUAUGCCGCUGGUGGAGAAAGCUCUUCGAGCUUUCCUUCAUUCAUUGCUAAGCCAAGGUCCCUGGUUUUCGAGUCAACCCACGCCUUUUUGAAGACUCUAAUAAAUGAGAUUUCGAGUAAGUAUUUACAUUAUCUUUUUCUACCCGAAGAAAUGAUUCAUCGAAAUAAUGAGUCACUUAUUCCAUUGAUAUGGCCGCAUCUAAGAUUGUCUCAGCAAUACGUCUCCCAGGUUGAUUUUUCAACAUCAUUUUGGCUUAAAAUUGGGCUCGCUGUGUUAUAAGAUCAGUUAAAAUAAUUUCUCUGAAGCAGACCUUAUGGCGCUGGUAUUUUCAUUUUGUAGGGCAUUUUUGAAUGAGUCUUUAAUAGUCUGGAUGAGCUUCAUCUGUUUUAAAAUGCUUAAAAAAAGAAAUCACCCUUUUGGAAUGAAUUGCAUGUUCUUGUUCAACAGGUGCAGAUAAAUAUUUAUAUACUUAAUGGAGUACUUUCCUGCUUCAUGAUAAUGGUUAGAAAUCUUUUACAUCUUGCUACCCUGCUCCAUCUGGGGAAAUAUAGUUUGACUCUUAUAGCGUGCACAUCCUUCUCUUAGCCCCUUGUUCUGGUUAAGAAUUUGCUUCCAUCAAUCCAGAAUUAGCAUCAACUAACCCAACCCUAUUUAAAAACAAUGUUUGCAUUCCUUUUUAUGCUCACGGGAAUUCAUAUCUCUCUUGCUUCCUAACAUUUUCUGAUAGGUUGGACAAGAUUGCAGCAACAGCAAGAAGUCCCCUGAGCCUGGAAGCUGAAAGCCAGAAUGGUUUAGUCUGCCACUGCAAGCCAAACCUUUCUAGCUUUAACUCUAUGAUUAGGAGGGUCCAGAAUGGUUUAGUCUGCCACUGCAAGCCAAAUCUUUCUAGCUGUAACUCUGUGAUUAGGAGGGUAGCUGAUGGACGCUGAGCGAUUCAGAUGGGAGCUACGAGAGCUGGGUCUUUGUAGGUGGGGGUGAUGAUUGGCCUUUCCGAAUAUGCUUUAUUUAUGGACACAAUGAUGCCUUUUCCUGGUGAGGUACGAAGUUGAGAAAGGAUAUGCUGUAACGUCCCUUGAUAAAGCAUUUAAGAGAGAUUGAGCUCAGGCCUCGUCCCUUCCAAAGAAAGCAGGACAAUGCGUAAAGAUGAUACCAAUUGUCUUUUCCUUUUAUUUGCAGGCGGAAAGUGUAAAGCGAUCUGUAAGGAUGUAGAAAGAUUUCAGUGGGAGUGCAGUCUGAUCGCAGGUGAAGCCUACAGUGGUUGUCUACAAUUUUGCACAAUCUUAUUAAAAAGGAUUGCUUCAUUGUUGAUACCUACAAAGGAUCUCGAGCAUUAGCCUGCUGCGUACAAACUUACUAUAAGCAGAUCCGGACUUUGCCGUUGCUCUAGAGUAAAAUAAGAGGCAAAUCUCCUGGUAACUUUUUAGAAUGCCUGAUCUGUGUAGCGCCCUGCAAAUGCUGUGGUUUCAUUCUGACCUGUACCACCAACCCUGUAAAAAAAAAUGAAGCUAUUACUUGCUAUCGUAAAAAAAUGCUGGUUUCAAAACUUUUAUACAUGAUCUUGCAAAUCUUUAUCCUUCAAAACAAAUUUAGAAGAAACGACGAUCACCAAAAAAAAAAGAGAUCACAAAAUUACUAAUGUGAGUUAAACACUCCCACAUGAUGCAAUCUCAAUUUCCCUGCCACUUGUAAUUGCAAACUAAAUUGCAAGCUCAUUGUCUUAGAAAAAUUUAAAGAACCAGAUAAUCAAUCCUCGUGGCUGCUUGCCCCACAUAAAUUUGAACUAUAAAUUACAUUCCAACUUACAGAAAAUUUAGGCUUGACUGGGUUAAACAAUCAAUUAACCCCAUCCCUCAUUACCACCACCAGCAGC
Molecule: non-coding RNA, 7628 nt
Organism: Phoenix dactylifera (date palm)
Lineage: Eukaryota; Viridiplantae; Streptophyta; Magnoliopsida; Arecales; Arecaceae
Source: RefSeq, a predicted model, not a curated record